RNAcentral lists this ribosomal RNA (274 nucleotides) under uncultured bacterium. RNAcentral's name for it is "partial 16S ribosomal RNA". It matches the Rfam family "Bacterial small subunit ribosomal RNA", at positions 523 to 796 of the family's 1533-position model. The record is from RNAcentral.
AUACGGAGGGUGCAAGCGUUACUCGGAAUCACUGGGCGUAAAGCGCGCGCAGGCGGCCUGAUAAGUUGGAUGUGAAAGCCUACGGCUCAACCGUAGAACUGCAUCCAAAACUGUCAGGCUAGAGUGUGGGAGAGGAAGAUGGAAUUGGUUGUGUAGGGGUAAAAGCCGUAGAGAUAACUAGGAAUACCAAAAGCGAAGGCAAUCUUCUGGAACACUACUGACGCUGAGGCGCGAAGGCGUGGGGAGCAAACAGGAUUAGAAACCCCUGUAGUCC